GAUGAACGCUGGCGGCGUGCCUAAUACAUGCAAGUCGAGCGAACAGACGAGGAGCUUGCUCCUCUGACGUUAGCGGCGGACGGGUGAGUAACACGUGGAUAACCUACCUAUAAGACUGGGAUAACUUCGGGAAACCGGAGCUAAUACCGGAUAAUAUAUUGAACCGCAUGGUUCAAUAGUGAAAGACGGUUUUGCUGUCACUUAUAGAUUGAUCCGCGCCGCAUUAGCUAGUUGGUAAGGUAACGGCUUACCAAGGCAACGAUGCGUAGCCGACCUGAGAGGGUGAUCGGCCACACUGGAACUGAGACACGGUCCAGACUCCUACGGGAGGCAGCAGUAGGGAAUCUUCCGAAAUGGGCGAAAGCCUGACGGAGCAGCGCCGCGUGAGUGAUGAAGGUCUUCGGAUCGUAAAACUCUGUUAUUAGGGAAGAACAAAUGUGUAAGUAACUAUGCACGUCUUGACGGUACCUAAUCAGAAAGCCACGGCUAACUACGUG
Molecule: ribosomal RNA, 497 nt
Filed under: uncultured bacterium
Lineage: Bacteria
Description: partial 16S ribosomal RNA
Rfam family: Bacterial small subunit ribosomal RNA
Source: RNAcentral